GGAAGGGACUUGGAGAUCGCCUGCUCCUGGCCGCAACUGAACCCACGGCUUCUCCCUGCCUUCCCGGGCCAAGGAAUCUUUUCCCUCACUCAGCUACCCGCAUGCCAGCUGCCACCUUUUUGGAGAAGGACCACACCUGUGCUUAUUCUCGCUUUGGAGGAGAGAUGCAGGACUGAAAGCUCUGAGAAUGGUGGACUCUGCAGAGAAGAGGAGUUUAAUUGUGUUUCUGGAACGGCUCAGCGUUCUAGAAGUUGAGAUUUACAACACGCUGAAGGAACUGGUAUAUAUAAAUGACCUGCUAAUUCAAGACUUCUUCUGUUGGAGCAUGGGCCUUCUGUUGGAGCAUAGGCCUCUCCUGAGAUGAACUUUCAGAGCUGUGAAGGACCUGAGGGAUGUGCAUGCUAGCCUACCCACCUCUGCCCCUGAAUGACAAGCACUGGGACUCAGGUUCUCCUUCACCGGACAGCCUGUUCCACUGGUAGACUGCUGCAUUUCCAGAGAAUUCUUGGAAUUGUAUCCUCAAGUAACUUCUACUCACUG
Molecule: non-coding RNA, 540 nt
Organism: Puma concolor (puma)
Lineage: Eukaryota; Metazoa; Chordata; Mammalia; Carnivora; Felidae
Source: RefSeq, a predicted model, not a curated record